AACAAGGCGUACCUGCGGACCUGCGGAGGGAUCAUUACACAAUAAACAUAUGAAGGCUGCACCGCCAACAGGCGGCAAGGCUGGAGUAUUUUAUUACCCUUGUCUUUUGCGCACUUGUUGUUUCCUGGGCGGGUUCGCCCGCCUCCAGGACCACAUGAUAAACCUUUUUUAUGCAGUUGCAAUCAGCGUCAGUACAACAAAUGUAAAUCAUUUACAACUUUUAGCAACGGAUCUCAGAUC
Molecule: unclassified non-coding RNA, 240 nt
Filed under: soil metagenome
Description: partial contains 5.8S ribosomal RNA, internal transcribed spacer 2, and large subunit ribosomal RNA
Source: RNAcentral